RNAcentral lists this ribosomal RNA (1997 nucleotides) under Escherichia coli. Its description in RNAcentral is "partial 23S ribosomal RNA". It matches the Rfam family "Bacterial large subunit ribosomal RNA", at positions 819 to 2798 of the family's 2925-position model. Lineage: Bacteria; Pseudomonadati; Pseudomonadota; Gammaproteobacteria; Enterobacterales; Enterobacteriaceae. The record is from RNAcentral.
GGGUGAAAGGCCAAUCAAACCGGGAGAUAGCUGGUUCUCCCCGAAAGCUAUUUAGGUAGCGCCUCGUGAAUUCAUCUCCGGGGGUAGAGCACUGUUUCGGCAAGGGGGUCAUCCCGACUUACCAACCCGAUGCAAACUGCGAAUACCGGAGAAUGUUAUCACGGGAGACACACGGCGGGUGCUAACGUCCGUCGUGAAGAGGGAAACAACCCAGACCGCCAGCUAAGGUCCCAAAGUCAUGGUUAAGUGGGAAACGAUGUGGGAAGGCCCAGACAGCCAGGAUGUUGGCUUAGAAGCAGCCAUCAUUUAAAGAAAGCGUAAUAGCUCACUGGUCGAGUCGGCCUGCGCGGAAGAUGUAACGGGGCUAAACCAUGCACCGAAGCUGCGGCAGCGACGCUUAUGCGUUGUUGGGUAGGGGAGCGUUCUGUAAGCCUGUGAAGGUGUGCUGUGAGGCAUGCUGGAGGUAUCAGAAGUGCGAAUGCUGACAUAAGUAACGAUAAAGCGGGUGAAAAGCCCGCUCGCCGGAAGACCAAGGGUUCCUGUCCAACGUUAAUCGGGGCAGGGUGAGUCGACCCCUAAGGCGAGGCCGAAAGGCGUAGUCGAUGGGAAACAGGUUAAUAUUCCUGUACUUGGUGUUACUGCGAAGGGGGGACGGAGAAGGCUAUGUUGGCCGGGCGACGGUUGUCCCGGUUUAAGCGUGUAGGCUGGUUUUCCAGGCAAAUCCGGAAAAUCAAGGCUGAGGCGUGAUGACGAGGCACUACGGUGCUGAAGCAACAAAUGCCCUGCUUCCAGGAAAAGCCUCUAAGCAUCAGGUAACAUCAAAUCGUACCCCAAACCGACACAGGUGGUCAGGUAGAGAAUACCAAGGCGCUUGAGAGAACUCGGGUGAAGGAACUAGGCAAAAUGGUGCCGUAACUUCGGGAGAAGGCACGCUGAUAUGUAGGUGAAGUCCCUCGCGGAUGGAGCUGAAAUCAGUCGAAGAUACCAGCUGGCUGCAACUGUUUAUUAAAAACACAGCACUGUGCAAACACGAAAGUGGACGUAUACGGUGUGACGCCUGCCCGGUGCCGGAAGGUUAAUUGAUGGGGUCAGCGCAAGCGAAGCUCUUGAUCGAAGCCCCGGUAAACGGCGGCCGUAACUAUAACGGUCCUAAGGUAGCGAAAUUCCUUGUCGGGUAAGUUCCGACCUGCACGAAUGGCGUAAUGAUGGCCAGGCUGUCUCCACCCGAGACUCAGUGAAAUUGAACUCGCUGUGAAGAUGCAGUGUACCCGCGGCAAGACGGAAAGACCCCGUGAACCUUUACUAUAGCUUGACACUGAACAUUGAGCCUUGAUGUGUAGGAUAGGUGGGAGGCUUAGAAGUGUGGACGCCAGUCUGCAUGGAGCCGACCUUGAAAUACCACCCUUUAAUGUUUGAUGUUCUAACGUUGACCCGUAAUCCGGGUUGCGGACAGUGUCUGGUGGGUAGUUUGACUGGGGCGGUCUCCUCCUAAAGAGUAACGGAGGAGCACGAAGGUUGGCUAAUCCUGGUCGGACAUCAGGAGGUUAGUGCAAUGGCAUAAGCCAGCUUGACUGCGAGCGUGACGGCGCGAGCAGGUGCGAAAGCAGGUCAUAGUGAUCCGGUGGUUCUGAAUGGAAGGGCCAUCGCUCAACGGAUAAAAGGUACUCCGGGGAUAACAGGCUGAUACCGCCCAAGAGUUCAUAUCGACGGCGGUGUUUGGCACCUCGAUGUCGGCUCAUCACAUCCUGGGGCUGAAGUAGGUCCCAAGGGUAUGGCUGUUCGCCAUUUAAAGUGGUACGCGAGCUGGGUUUAGAACGUCGUGAGACAGUUCGGUCCCUAUCUGCCGUGGGCGCUGGAGAACUGAGGGGGGCUGCUCCUAGUACGAGAGGACCGGAGUGGACGCAUCACUGGUGUUCGGGUUGUCAUGCCAAUGGCACUGCCCGGUAGCUAAAUGCGGAAGAGAUAAGUGCUGAAAGCAUCUAAGCACGAAACUUGCC